Eupeodes corollae is the source of this 388-nucleotide long non-coding RNA. RefSeq lists it as uncharacterized. NCBI's taxonomy places the organism in Eukaryota, Metazoa, Arthropoda, Insecta, Diptera, Syrphidae. The record is from RefSeq and is a predicted model, not a curated record. The transcript is spliced from 2 exons.
AUGUACACUAUGAAAGGCCCAUCUGGCUUUCCUAAUAACUUUCUGGGCAUGCGGGUUAAACUUUAACAGCUCGUGAAAAUAAAUUCCCAGUUGACGGCCUUUUGAAGCAGAUGAGUUCCGACUUUGUUGCGUUGAUUUUUAUACCCCAUUUAUGGUAAAAAUCAAAGAGACGGUGGAUGUGUGCUUCUACUUUCUUCACGGCUAUAUGUGCUGACAUUGAGGAGCAGUAGGUCAAGGAAUCAUCGGCGUAUAGAAGGUUCUCGCAGUUGACGAGGUUAGGUUGGUCAGAUGUCAGGAUGCUGUAUAGAAACGGGGCGAGCUUCGAUCCUUGGGCAACUCCAGCCGUGAUGUUCUUCUUUGACGAUGAGCAUUUCUCCAAUUGUACAUA